AUUGAACGCAGGCGGCAUGCCUUACACAUGCAAGUCGAACGGCAGCAUAGAAGAGCUUGCUCUUCUGAUGGCGAGUGGCGAACGGGUGAGUAAAGCAUCGGAACGUACCGUGUAGUGGGGGAUAACGUAGCGAAAGUUACGCUAAUACCGCAUACGCACUGAGGUGGAAAGCAGGGGAUCGCAAGACCUUGCGCUAUACGAGCGGCCGAUGUCAGAUUAGCUAGUUGGUAGGGUAAAGGCCUACCAAGGCGACGAUCUGUAGCGGGUCUGAGAGGAUGAUCCGCCACACUGGGACUGAGACACGGCCCAGACUCCUACGGGAGGCAGCAGUGGGGAAUUUUGGACAACGGGGGAAACCCUGAUCCAGCCAUGCCGCGUGAGUGAAGAAGGCCUUCGGGUUGUAAAGCUCUUUCGGCUGGGAAGAAAUCGCACAGGCUAAUACUCUGUGUGGAUGACGGUACCAGCACAAGAAGCACCGGCUAACUACGUGCCAGCCGCCGCGGUAA
Molecule: ribosomal RNA, 506 nt
Filed under: uncultured bacterium
Lineage: Bacteria
Description: partial 16S ribosomal RNA
Rfam family: Bacterial small subunit ribosomal RNA
Source: RNAcentral